AAGUUCCAAUCAUAACAUCCUUGUCUUACAAUGAAGCAUGUUUCAUCACUCACCUUCUCCUUCCUCAUCUUUGUUUUCAUCACAAACUUUUCACUAACUUUCUCAAUAAACUUUGUUGAACAAGUAUUGGACGUAAAUGGUAACCCCAUUUUUCCAGGUGGCAAAUACUAUAUCUUGCCAGCAAUUCGUGGUCCCGCUGGUGGAGGACUAAGACUAGCAAAAACAGGUAACUCAGAAUGUGAAGUUACUGUCUUACAAGACUACCAUGAAGUUAUAAACGGGGUACCAGUGAAAUUCAGUAUACCAGGAAUAGGUCCUGGUAUAAUCUUCACUGGUACAUCGAUUGAGAUUGAGUUCACAAAGAGGCCAAACUGCGCCGAAUCUUCAAAAUGGUUGAUAUUUGUUGACGAUGUUAUUCAAAAAGCUUGUGUUGGUAUUGGUGGUCCUGAAAAUUAUCCUGAUUUUAAAACAUUGAGCGGCACUUUUAAUAUUGAGAAACAUGAAUCUGGAUUUGGUUAUAGGCUUGGAUAUUGUGUUAAAGAUUCUCCUACUUGUUUGGAUAUUGGGAGAUCAGAUGGUAAUGAGGAUGAAGGUGGAUCACGGUUGAAUUUGACUCAUCAAAUUGCUUAUGCGGUUGUGUUUGUAGAUGCUGAUUCUUAUGAAGCUGGAAUUAUUAAAUCUGUUGCUUGAUACCUUUGUUGUUAAUCUAAACUAGUAAUAUAGUCUCUUUGUUCUUAUUAUGAUGAAUAAGAAGUAUGAGCUUCAAUAAUGCAAGCACCUUAGUAAUUGCACUUUCUUUUUGGGUGUUGAAGAUGUAUUCCAUUUUCUGGUCUUACUUAUAUAUUUACUUCUUUUCUCAUAUUUGUUAUAUAAUAUUUCAUCUUAUUAUAAUUAAAAUAUGAUUGAUCAUUUCGUCAUAUUUAUUGAAUUUUCUUAACAACUCAAAAUAUAAGUCUUUAAAUUUAUCGAAAAGUUGAAUCACACCCAAGAACAAAGAAAAAAAAUAAUGGCAACAAAGAUAAAUAGUUUUAAGCAAAAAUAAUAAUAAAAUAUUAAUUUAACUUGAUGAAAGAAGAUAUAUAAAAGACAAAAAAUACAAUAGUGUGUUUACCUAUUUUGAUAAAACGAAUUAUUUUGGAUGGAGAGAGUAAUUCUCCGAUUCAUUAUAUUUCUAAAAAUUCUUACAAAAAAUUACAAAUGAGUUACAAAGAGUCAACCAAGUUCGCAAGAACAAACCAUAUUUUCUAGGGGUGUUCGCGGUUUGGUUUGGAUCGGUUUUGAGACAAAAAAUCAUCCGAUCCAAAGAUACAAAGAGCAUACGGUUUGGUUCGGUUAUUGGAUGACAAUAAAAAAAAUCCAAUCCGAUCCCAAUUUAUACGGUUUACUUCGGUUCGGUUUAUUCGGUUUUUAAACAAACACUACUUCUAAAAUCAAAAAUAUUUUAAUUAAUUUUUUUUAAAUUCUGACAAAAAAUAUUUUCUAAUAAUAUAUAUAUAUAUAUAUAUAUAUAUAUAUAUAUAUAUUAUUUAUAAUAACCAAUUUAAUUUUACAUGCCCGUGGAAUCCGUGGAGGUGAAUUUUCCAAUAUGACACUUCAAAUAUUAAAUGAAUUUUCCUGCAACAAUUUAAUAUUUUUUACAUGCCUUGGUGAAUUUUUUGAACAAUCAAUUUGCAUGAAGGAAAACAAUUCAAUUUAAUUUUCCGUCAACAAUUGGAUUGAACAAAAAGAACAACAAUAAAUUUAAUAUAAUUUCAAUAGAAUUGCAAUAAAGAAUUAAUUUAAGAAUUAAUUUAAUAUACUUUAGAAUCUUGCAACAAUUUCAAUUUCAUGUAUGUAACAAAACAACAAUCAUCACUUGAAGAAAGCAAAUCAAGAACAAUUAUUGAAUUGCAAAUUCAAGAACAAUUCAAUUUUCCAAAUAGAAAUUUAAUUUUUCUGCCAACAAAACAAAAAUCAACAAACAUUGCCAGGACAACAACAGUUUUUCAGAAAAUUAUUACAGGAAUCAACAGAACAAUAACAUAACUGUAGAAAUCAUAAUAAAAGCAUGUGUAUUUCCUGAUAAUCAAAAUCACCAUUCUUUCUAAAUUAGCCACAAACAAUUCCAGCUUGUUAAUAAGAAUAUCCAUGUCUUUCUAAGGUCUGUUCUGCAAAAACAAAAACAAAAAAACAAACAUAUCAAUAGAGUGAAUCAUUUGCAGCAACUAAACAAACAAUAUGAUCAUAUUAGUAUAAGCAAUACAGUCAUACCAUAUCAAGACUAGCUCAAAGUAGCAUAGCUAAUCAGAAUCAAUAUCAGAUAUAUCUUCAUUCAAUUGUGGAAUUGGAACAAGUUCUACAAAAGUAAACCAUAUUCAAGAUAAAAACAAGAUAAAUAUUAAUAUGAAAGGAUAAGAAUGUUAAACAAAAAAAUAAUACAAGUUAUAAUUAAUUUACCUAAUUCCAGAUUUUCUAAUUCAUCCACAAGCUCUUCAAUAUCAACUGACACUAGGGAUGCUUUACACCAAUUUUGUGUGCAAAUUAAUGCUUCAACUAUCUUUGGUGUAAGAGAGCUUCUAUAACAAGUAAGCACUCUACCUCCGGUAGAGAAAGCGGACUCCGAAGCAACAGUUGACACAGGCAUUGCCAAUACAUCACUAGCCAUUUGACCAAGAAUAUGAUACUUGUUGGAAUUCACCUUCCACCAAUUCAAGAUAUCAAAACCAGGACUUUUCUUCUCUAAUUUCUCCAUGAGAUACAAAUCCACCUCAUUUUUCUGCAUGCUCUCAUUUAGAUUCAUGUCCAUCUCAACUUCCAAAGCAAAUGCAUCCNUUACCUUCAUGGGUCAUUUCUUUUUUGAUCUCUUAAUUUCUCGUUGAAGCGAGCUUGCAAAGCGAUCUCCGUCUUUGCCUUAUCAGAAUUUCUCUCUCCAUCAUUGCUCAUGAGCCUCAAGAGUUUUGCAACUUCUCCUUGCUCAUCAUCGCAAGAUCCUUCGAUUCCUCAAUAUCCACAAACUACAUUGUUAAAUCUUGUGUUAAAGAACGCAAGAUUUUUGUGACAACAUAUUGCUCCAUAAUGUUUCUUCGCAGCCUUUACUUGAUUCACUAACCGAGUGAUUCUCGUUGUGAAAUCGUUUGAUUGUUUCAUUUUCUUUCAUUUGAAUCAAUUCGAGAUGAUCUUUUGAGGUUAUAAACCUCACCACCUUCGCCUUUUCAUCCCCUGCAUAGGCCAUCUCUAAGAUCUUCCACGCUUGCUUGGAUGAUUCACAAUUAUCAACUUUCUCAAAUUGUCACCAUCAACACAUUGUUGGAUAAAAAGAAGCACCUUGAAAUCUUUCUUCUUCUCUUCCUUAUGUGUUGCUUGUUGUGCAUCUGUUGCACCCGCUACAAGAGGAGUAACCCCGUUCUUGAUCACUUCAAGAACAUCUUGGAACCAAACAACACUUUCAUUUGCUUGACAUUUGUCAUAAUUCUUCGCCAUCAAGGAUUAUAAGCUUGUAGAGAUUCUUUAAUUGGAACAUAAUUCAUGUUGCACACUAUCUGUUUGUGGAUCAGACCAAUCUCUUCAUGCCAAAUAUUGGAACUUUGACCACAAGAUUGGUGAACAAUGGUUGAGAGAAUUGGAAUGUGGACAGUGAAAAGAAAAUUGAGAGAGAGAGAGAGAGAGAGAGAGAGAGAAUUGAGGGUGAGAUUGAAUAUUGCAUUAGCAGGGAUGGAAUAAUCCUAUACAUUUAUACAAAUAUUAUAUUAUAAUUGGGAACCAAAACAAUUAAAUGAAAUAACAAAAAGUAUAAAAUUCAGGCUCGUAACCGAUUACAUAAUUAAUUAACCGGUUAAAGUUGAUAUUAAUUAAAUUUCAUUCAGUGGUAAUCACUUUACACCACAUAUUAACUAGUUAGAGUUGUGAAUUCUUCAUUUUCUACUACUUGGAAGUACUGUUAAUCUUGCUAUAAUCGUACUUGAAAGACCCUUACAAACACAAUUUUAAUUCCACACAAGGAAAAAAAACUGUUAUAUUACAAAAGUAUUAAGUAUUACGCAAAAAAAAUAGUUUACAUAGUUGAAAAUUAAAAUUCGAAAAAGUAUGUGAGAUAAAAGUACGUUUAACCCCAAAAAAAACAUGUUAAAAAAUACACGCAGCAUAUAGUAUUCUUAUAAUAAGACUAUGCUCCACGUGAAAAUAUUAAAAUUCCUCGUUACAUUUUAGCGCAAUUAGCAAUUAAAAUAUAAUUCCUCUUUUUAUCUGAAUUAAAACACGACAAGUUGUGCCUCUUGGAACGCGUGCAUGGUUAUUAUAUAAAAAUUAAACACAACUUCCAAAUAAAACACAUUAGUAAUAAAUCGAUCACAUUCAAGUUCCAAUCAUAACAUCCUUGUCUUACAAUGAAGCAUGUUUCAUCACUCACCUUCUCCUUCCUCAUCUUUGUUUUCAUCACAAACUUUUCACUAACUUUCUCAAUAAACUUUGUUGAACAAGUAUUGGACGUAAAUGUAACCCCAUUUUUCCGGUGGCAAAUACUAUAUCUUGCCAGCAAUUCGUGGUCCCGCUGGUGGAGGACUAAGACUAGCAAAAACAGGUAACUCAGAAUGUGAAGUUACUGUCUUACAAGACUACCAUGAAGUUAUAAACGG
This 4610-nucleotide long non-coding RNA is filed under the name Lathyrus oleraceus (garden pea). RNAcentral's name for it is "Pisum sativum (pea) long non-coding RNA (PSAT_LNC002280)". Lineage: Eukaryota; Viridiplantae; Streptophyta; Magnoliopsida; Fabales; Fabaceae. The record is from RNAcentral.